GUGUCAGCAGCCGCGGUAAGACAGAGGGUGCAAACGUUGUUCGGAAUUACUGGGCGUAAAGCGCGUGUAGGCGGCAGGGCAAGUCGGAUGUGAAAACCCACGGCUCAACCGUGGAAGUGCACCCGAUACUGCUCCGCUAGAGUCUCGGAGAGGAAGGUGGAAUGCUUGGUGUAGAGGUGAAAUUCGUAGAUAUCAAGCAGAACACCGGUGGCGAAGGCGGCCUUCUGGACGAUGACUGACGCUGAGACGCGAAAGCGUGGGGAGCAAACAGGAUUAGAAACCCCUGUAGUCC
RNAcentral lists this ribosomal RNA (292 nucleotides) under uncultured bacterium. Its description in RNAcentral is "partial 16S ribosomal RNA". It matches the Rfam family "Bacterial small subunit ribosomal RNA", at positions 505 to 796 of the family's 1533-position model. The record is from RNAcentral.